This 3208-nucleotide long non-coding RNA is filed under the name Homo sapiens (human). RNAcentral's name for it is "HSALNT0055393". The record is from RNAcentral. Lineage: Eukaryota; Metazoa; Chordata; Mammalia; Primates; Hominidae.
AGUGAAUAAGUCUCACAAGAUCUGAAGGUUAUAUAAAGAGAAGUUCCCUACACCACUUCUGUCUUUGCCUGCUGCCAUCCACGUGAUAUGUGACUUGCUGCUCCUUGCCUUCUGCCAUAAUUGUGAGGCCUCCUCAGCCACACGGAAAUGCUUAUAGGCAUAAGAGACUUGCCUUGUCUCAGAUGAAACUUUGGACUGUGGACUUUUGAGUUAAUGCUGAUAUUAGGACUCUGCUUACCCUUUGUGAAUAAGCCCAGUGAAUCUGCUGAGUGAUGAGAGAGAGAGUGGGCCAGUCACUUCAUUGCUCCAGGUAACAUGCAGUUAUCUUCCCCCAGGAUUUUCUGUUGAAUGACACUUCAUAAAAAAGACUUUGAUUGCUGAGUUACAAAGACAAUUGUAUCUUCUUGUAAAGCAUACAGUCUUGGUGGUCCUACCCCAUGAACUGGCUGUCCCAGGACGGUUUUACGGUGGUUAUGUUGAAGAUGUAAAUAUUCUCCCUGCUGUGAGUAUUACUGCAGCUGCCCAAAGAUGCUUUAUUUUAAAGAUGUGGAUACAGGAAGAUAAAAGCAUCAGAAACACUGCAUGGGAAAAUCAUUCAGACUGCAGCUUCCUGGUUUUAGACAUCCCCACUGGCAAUUGGGACAUCUAUUUUGGAGAUGUAAUUGAAAAGACUGAAGAAUGUACUGAGGACCUUCUGGCUGAUAGAAGCUGACAAAGAAGCCAAGAUUGGUGAAGAUUUCUGCAAUACCUGAGUUUCUAAUCACAACAACAAAAAUGACCUGGAUAGAAAACCUUGGAGAUAGUAAUUGAUGGGCAUCACGUAGCUGGUUGCUGGAGAAACACUGAAGCAGAACUUGUAAUAUCUUCAAAACAAGUGAAGGCCAGGAAUCAGAAAUGCUUCUGAAGGUCAGCUGCCUCUCCAGCCAUCUAUGAAGAGCUAUGGUUCUGAAUCCUGGCUAAUAUCAGAAUCAUCCUGGGAGCUUUUGAAAAUCCUGAUGCUCAAGUCACACUCCAUACUCAGACAAGAAGCUGAGUCUCAGAGAGAGAAAAUGACUCAUCCAAGCAAGGUUUGAGACCUAAGAAAGAAUCAACCUGAAUCAAAUAUAACUAUAGGAGGUGCCUUUUGGACAAUACAGAGGCCAUGCUCAAGGAACACAAAAGGAACUGAAGUUGUGUGGAUUACAAGAGAGUUCGAUGUGUUCUAAAUUCAUUAUGUAGGUAAUGAAUGGGAUCUCGUGAAAAGUGGAACUAAGCCUCUUUGGUAAAGCCUGAAGAGUGGAGUCAAAAGCAAUGAGUAGAAAUCAUUUUACCCAUGCCAUCCACCUACCUAUCUACCCAUACAGACACCCAACAAAUUGUAAAAGAAAAGUAGGCAAUCAGGAUAAUCAGUAGUUUAAUAUGAUUUGGGGGUUCAUUAAAGGCUUUCCUUUAGAAAUCACAUUUAAACUGAGACCUGAAGGAUGGCUUCUGUCGUUAGCCAGAUGAAAAGAGAAGAUAAGCAUUCCAAGCAGAGGGAACAGGAAAGGUGGAAACAAACUGGGCAUAUUCCAGGACGUGGAAGGAAGCAGUAGGUAGCUUAAGUAGCAUGAAGAACACUUACAGAAGAGUUUAGAAUGAAGCAGGAGCCAGACCAUGGAGGUUGUGUAAGCAGAAGCUGGAAGACCCUUGAAAAGAGCAUUCAUUCAAGAAAUGAAGCAUGAGAUAGGAUGGAAGGAGGGAAGAAAGACAAGCAUAUGGCAUAUCAGGUCUCUUCCAGUGCUAAAGGCUGCCUAUGAUACUCAUCUGACCUGAUUUCUCCUGCACAGUGUUGCAACUGACGAGUAGCAGACUUGCCCUUGCCUGCAUUUGGGGGGAUGGCUGAGACUUUCCUUACAGAAAGCCCUACUUUCAGCAUGAACACUAACCCAGUUUAUUGGCUCAGGGUGUAGAGAGUUGCCUUGUCACUGGCGAAGUCAGAUGCAGCCAGUACCAGAGCUCUGCACUAGCUGUGAACACUAAGGAAGAAUAGCUGAGUGAGGAAGCAGAGUGCCAGGCAGCACAUCCUUCUUCAGGUGUUUCCUGCCCUGGGCCAGAUCCCAGGCACUGCAGCAAUAUCUCUGCAUGAUCUAGGGCUCCUGGAAAUAGCCCAUUAAGGGCAAAACUCGCUGCCCAGAAAACAUUAGAACAUUAAAAGAGCAGGGUCUCAUCUGAUUGUCUUGGUUUCCUGAGGCUCAUUCAGUCUGUGUCCACUGGUUUCAGUCUGAGUUCUCUGCACUUUGAGGAUGCAGACAGUGAAGUUCUCCCAUGGUUAUAGGGGGAGAGAUCAUAGGAAUGCUAUGGAAAGAGGCCUGAAGUCAGAGCCAGCUAGUGGUUAUUAUUUAUUAAUUGCCUGUGAGGUGCCAGGCGCACAUAUUAGACCAUAUGUGAUUGCAGUGAGCCACCCGGAUCCCCUUCAAGCUGCUGCUGCAGCUGAUGGAAGUCCUAUUGGCAGACAGCCUUCUCUCAUCAGCCCCUUCAGGACUUGCCUCAGUUGCAGAGAGCUGCCUUCCCCAAGAUCACACCCUUCCCUGGGGACUCACAACCAAUGGCUGAUCCAGAAGAAUCCAUAAAGCCCGUAUCAUUUCAGCCCAAUUUAGGACAGCUUUGUUGAGCCAUUAGACCUACAUGCAGCCCAACCUCUCCUUCUACCCACUUCUUCUUUCUUCCCUUUCCUUCCACGGUGUCUGUUCCAAGCACUUGCCUUAAUAAACAUGUAACAGGUUAAACUCUGUCUCGAUGUCUGCUUCAAGGAGAACCCAACCUGUGACAGUGAUAACAGAUAAAAACAAAGGACAUCACUUUUCCCUGCCUUACUUUCCAUUUACCACUAAAAAGGGUCUUGGACUUGCCCACUCAGUUUCUUCUCUUUCUUCACUCUUUGGAGAUGGUCCCUCCACUACCACAGACACAAAAAAGAAGAGUUGGGAAGAGAGAGGGGUGAAAACAUUUGGGGCACUGCAGGCCUAGUGCUAGGUGACUGAAGACUACCUGGAGGGUGCAGGAAGUGACUGUUUCUCCAUCAUGUAUUGUAUUGCUAUAGUGACUUAAAAAACAAGUAGGUGAUUUGUGUUUUUUUGGUUUUUUUUUGUUUUUUUGGUUUUUUUUUUGAGACAGAGUCUCGCUCUGUCACCCAGGCUGGAGUGCAGUGGCGCUAUCUUGGCUCACUGCAAGCUCCACCUCCUGGGUUCAC